GACGAACGCUGGCGGCGUGCUUAACACAUGCAAGUCGAACGGAAAGGCUCUGCUUGCAGGGUACUCGAGUGGCGAACGGGUGAGUAACACGUGGGUGAUCUGCCCUGCACUUCGGGAUAAGCCUUGGAAACUGGGUCUAAUACCUGAUAGCAGCCAUUUUUUGUGUGAUGGUUUGAAAGUUUUUUCGGUGUAGGAUGAGCUCGCGGCCUAUCAGCUUGUUGGUGAGGUAAUGGCCUACCAAGGCGGCGACGGGUAGCCGGCCUGAGAGGGUGGACGGCCACAUUGGGCCUGAGAUACGGCCCAGACGCCUACGGGAGGCAGUAGGGGGGAAUAUUGCACAAUGGGCGCAAGCCUGAUGCAGAGACGCCGCGGGGGGGAGGACGGGCUUCGGGUUGUAAACUCGUUUCGCUAGGGAAGAAGCUUUUUGUGACGGUACCUAGAUAAGAAGCACCGGCUAACUACGUG
This 465-nucleotide ribosomal RNA is filed under the name uncultured bacterium. RNAcentral's name for it is "partial 16S ribosomal RNA". It matches the Rfam family "Bacterial small subunit ribosomal RNA", at positions 28 to 507 of the family's 1533-position model. The record is from RNAcentral.